UGCCCAGCAGCUUCUAUCCCUACCUCCUCGCGGUACUGGCCGGGGUACGAGUAACCUUAGGGAAGA
RNAcentral lists this ribozyme (66 nucleotides) under Aedes aegypti (yellow fever mosquito). RNAcentral describes it as "drz-agam-1 ribozyme". It matches the Rfam family "drz-agam-1 ribozyme". Lineage: Eukaryota; Metazoa; Arthropoda; Insecta; Diptera; Culicidae. The record is from Rfam by way of RNAcentral.